GCCAGACUCCUACGGGAGGCAGCAGUGGGGAAUAUUGCACAAUGGGGGAAACCCUGAUGCAGCGACGCCGCGUGAGCGAUGAAGUAUUUCGGUAUGUAAAGCUCUAUCAGCAGGGAAGAAGAUGACGGUACCUGACUAAGAAGCCCCGGCUAACUACGUGCCAGCAGCCGCGGUAAUACGUAGGGGGCAAGCGUUAUCCGGAUUUACUGGGUGUAAAGGGAGCGUAGACGGCAUGGCAAGUCAGAUGUGAAAUCCGGGGGCUCAACCCCCGAACUGCAUUUGAAACUGUUGGUCUUGAGUAUCGGAGAGGCAGGCGGAAUUCCUAGUGUAGCGGUGAAAUGCGUAGAUAUUAGGAGGAACACCAGUGGCGAAGGCGGCCUGCUGGACGACAACUGACGGUGAGGCGCGAAAGCGUGGGGAGCAAACAGGAUUAGAUACCCCUGUAC
This 446-nucleotide ribosomal RNA is filed under the name uncultured bacterium. RNAcentral describes it as "bacterial SSU rRNA". It matches the Rfam family "Bacterial small subunit ribosomal RNA", at positions 330 to 793 of the family's 1533-position model. The record is from RNAcentral.